AACGUAUUCUGGACUCAAGGCGGAGGGGAAAUGGAUUUCAAUACUAGGUGGACUGGGAAGGUAACAGUCUGGAGGAGAGAAGUUGGGUGCCUGCAAGAGACAUAUUGGAUCACUCUCUUAUCGAUGAUUUCAAUCAACAGGUAACGGCCCAUGGAAAUGCCAGGAGGAGUUCCUAGGGGGAGGGGUACUGUCAUGGUUUGCAGUUUUGCCUUCUUCUCCUGGGUUCCAGUUGCUCGCUUCGGAGUGGAUCCUAUUCUGUCUCAGUGUUCCUCGUUGGAUUGUGUUCGGAGAAGUCCUCGUUGGAUUGUGUUCGGAGAUCUGCCCAUUGUAGUCCCUGUGCCGCCAAGGACCAGUUGCACCUUGACUUUCCUGACCUGUCAUUGUUACAUCGUUUUGUGCUUCCUAAUUAAGGAACAUUCACUUGCAAUUGAAUCUUGAGUUAUCGGUCCUCACAGUUAGCCCCGCCUGUCUCAGCACUCUGAGGACAUCCCUCAAAUACUCCAGAUGCCACUGCCAAUCCCUACUGUAGAUGAUAAUAUCAUCCAAGUAGGCAGCGGCAUAGGCAGCAUGUGGCCGCAGAACUCUAUCCAUGAGGCGCUGAAAUGUGGCCGGGGCCCCGAACAACCCGAAAGGAAGUGUCACAAAUUGGUGUAACCCAAACGGCAUGGUGAAGGCUGUUUUUUCUUUGGACAUGGGAGAUAAGGGGAUCUGACAAUAUCCUUUUGUUAAGUCCAAUGUUGAAUAAAAACGAGCCGUACCUAACCGAUCAAGCUGCUAGUCAAUGCGCGGCCAUAAAGAAGCUCGAAGGAGGAAAACCCUGUGGACCUCACGCAUGGCGAAUAAGAGGGGAUCUAGCCAUCCAUCCCAAUUUUUGAUCCGUGAGAAUCUCUUUUGGGAUUCCCACGCGGGAGAUUAAACGAAACAGGGCGUCCGCCACACUCUUAGCUGAUAUGUUGCAGAGUGCCACUGCUUCAGGAUAUCGUGUUGCGUAGUCUAUGAUAACCAAUGCAAAGCGAUGUCCCCGUGCCGACCGUUCUAAUGGCCCAAUGAGGUCCAUACCAAUUCAUUCGAAAGGGACCUGCACCAGAGGUAGAGGGCGCAAUGGCACUUUUGGGGCGGCCAGUGGGUUUACCAGCUGACAUUCCCAACACGACGAGCACCAUCUGCGCACGUUCUUGUAAAUGCCCGGCCAAAAGAAUCGGGUCAUUAGACGGUUUAAUGUCGCUGACAUCCCUAGAUGCCCUGCCAUCGGAUUACAAUCCGCCGUCUGGAAAAGCAUUUCCCGACGGCUCCGUGAUACUAACAAUUGGGUUGUAUCUUCCUUUGUCUGAGUGUCUUGGGUCACUCGAUACAACCUGUCUUUAAUAAUGGCAAAAUAAGGAUAGGAGAGCGCGGUCAGGUUGGAGGAUCUGCCCAUCGAUGGAACGGACCUGUUCAAACGCAUGUUUGAGCGUCUCGUCUUGGGACUGUUCCAGGGGAAAGUCAUCGCGACUGGAGAGGUUUAGCCUCGCCAAGCCGCUCGGUUCCUCUGAAACCGUCCCUCUGGGUCCCGGCACAGUCUCUCCAACCUGAGUGCUCACCCCCUUUCCCGCCGUCUCGUUUUCCCAGAGACAUCCGCUGUUAAACACCCCAAUAACUGUUCAAAAGCCAGCCAAUUGGUUCCCAAAAUUAGCGGAUGCCGGAGGCGCGGGCUAACCGCCACCUCCACACAAUGCUUUUGACCCCUAAAUUUGAUGGAUAUGGCUUUUACGGGGUAUUCCACUAUAUCCCCGUGCACACCCCUCACCUUAACCAUGCGGCCCAUAUCCAAUGUCCCAGAUUUUAUCUAGCUUUAAUGGAUGGAGGUCUGGUUACAACCUGAAUCCACCAAAGCCCGAUAAGUACCCCCCUUAAUACUCACAGGUAUCUGGUAUAACCCGGCUUGAUCGGGGGUGGCCUGCGGGUCGUCUGGGAUCCGGACCAACGUCCCCACCUCCAUGACUGGGCAUCGAUCCAGAGAGAGAGCGAGAGAGAGAAGCAAGCUCCAGAACAGCUCAUGGUCCUCCUGCUGGGCUUGCAUCAGGGCUUGGAACCGAUGGUCCUAGUCCGCCCGCAAGUCCAGCAGGGCUUGGUGGUUUUCUUGAUGUAGACCCGCGAGCGAUGUGAUGAUCUCCACAAAUGGCGAUCCCGAUGAUUCUGACGGAGUUUGCAUCAUGGCAGCGUCGUUCUCCUUCUACUCCCAGGUUUCGGCACCAGUGUAGUAUUUCCCUUGUUCGUCAGGUGAGAAGGAAGGAGACCGGGGUCAGCUGUCUGAGGCUCAUGGGUAUUUUUAUUUACAAAACGCAAAAUAAUCACGCCACAUGUGCACACACUUAGUCACUGUCUCACACUGUCUUGUCAAAAUUUCUCUGGCUUCUGGCUUCCUGGUCCCCACGAGUCCUCAGCUCUCUCUCCUCCUCGCCGGUUUCUGACUGGCUUAUAUACCGUCUCCCCGCGCCAACUACUGCAACGAGACCCAGGUGUUAGUAUUUUUAGUAUUUAUUUACAUCUACCUCAUACACAAUCGCUCUCCGUACACUCGGGCCAUUUUCAGGUAAAUUUUCACCAGCUAGACACUUUUCCAUCAGGCUGGAUCCAUCUGCAGCACCUGGCCUGGAUGCCUGUGUACUCACUUUCAGAUUCUGGGCUAAAUCAACCAGACAAGAUGUGACAUCCAAAACUUACAGACACUGUCUCAUCCAAGCCGGACUCACCAGACUUAGUCCAGUUUCAUUUCAGUAUCUACUGUACUGUUCAUUAAUAGUUCAUUUAAAAUUGAUAAGGUUACCAAGACAAAACCUUACUUUCAUUUUAAUUAUGUAGAUUAUAAUAACUUAUAAAUAAUAAGUAAAUAACUUGAAUCUAUAAACAUCUCAUUAUUAUAAAAGCAAUUUUAAAGUCCAUUAAAGAACUCGCUUGAUUAAGCUGGCAUGAGGAAAAUUUAUUUACAAAACCAUGUAAUUACAGCAAAAAGUCUAGAUAAGAUAUUUAACAUUUUGUAAAAGGUGUUUUGAAAAACACAUUGGUAAAUUAAUUUAAAUAAUUAUUACCCAACUAUUACAAUUAAUAAUUUUAUCAGUGAAUACUGUUCUUGGUUGUUGCUCUUUGUGCAGCAUGUCUUUCUGCAUCUAAGUCCAGUGAGUUCUUUGCUUGGGAGCUUUCAUUUCUGUACCUGUAAAGAUAAUGCAGAAGUAUCUAUUACUGAAGGUCUAACUGAAUGCACAAAACUGAAUGAAUAUACAGGUGCAUCUCAAUAAAUUAGAAUGUCGCGGAAAAGUUCAUUUAUUUCAGUAAUUCAACUCAAAUUGUGAAACUCGUGUAAAAAAUAAAUUCAGUGCACACAGACUGAAGUAGUUUAAGUCUUUGGUUCUUUUGAUUGUGAUGAUGAUUUGGGCUCACAUUUAACAAAAACCCACCAAUUCACUAUCUAAACAAAUUAGAAUAUGGUGACAUGCCAGUCAGCUAAUCAACUCAAAACACCUGUAAAGGGUUUCCUGAGCCUUCAAAAUGGUCUCUCAGUUUGGUUCCCUAGGCUACAUAAUCAUGGGGAAGACUGCUGAUCUGACAGUUGUCCAGAAGACAAUCAUUGACACCCUUCACAAGCCACAAACAUUCAUUGCCAAAGAAGCUGGCUGUUCACAGAGUGCUGUAUCCAACCAUGUUAGCAGAAAGUUGAGUGGAAGGAAAAAGUGUGCAAGAAAAAGAUGCACAACCA
Cyprinus carpio carpio is the source of this 3733-nucleotide long non-coding RNA. The record is from Ensembl. NCBI's taxonomy places the organism in Eukaryota, Metazoa, Chordata, Actinopteri, Cypriniformes, Cyprinidae.